CAGCAACACAUAGCUGAAUGGAUGGACCCCAUAAGCUGCUUCAGUGCCCAGAUGUGGCAGCCUUAGUGGAUGACUUCACCACCUGCAUUCUGGCAAACUGGUUCAAGAGUGAGGAGCCAGCCACAGUGAAGCCAUUGCUGCAGAUGCUAGAGGUCUUUGCGAAGCAUGAAAACAUGGUAAAAUGGGGCAGGGGCUAAGGGUGUGCGCUCAGGAGAUGUAACCAGGAGAAGGAACAUCUGGUGUGUCCAGUUAUAGAUAGGGUGGGACACACUCUUGGGAUCAAAGAGAGCAAAUCCUCAUGAGGCCAGUACAGCACAGACAGGAGUUGGGGCUUGAGCCAUUCAUGAUUUCUCCCUCCCAGGAAAGGUCUCCUGAGGAAGUUUUUUCAUGGGUCAUUUCAGAGAAUAGACCAAGCUAACCCCAGGAUCUCACACGUCAUCCAGGUCCCUUGGAGAUUGCUGUCAUCAUCAGGGAUGAGAAGCGCAGUGGCGAUGGAAACUUACAGUGUAGUGGGAGGAGGGGGCCUCCUCUGUUUUCUCCCCUUCCCUCAUGAUGGACACAAGGUACCUCCCCAAAUGCCCUCCUGGGCAGCUCAC
This 596-nucleotide long non-coding RNA is filed under the name Homo sapiens (human). RNAcentral describes it as "HSALNT0019903". Lineage: Eukaryota; Metazoa; Chordata; Mammalia; Primates; Hominidae. The record is from RNAcentral.